This 497-nucleotide ribosomal RNA is filed under the name uncultured bacterium. RNAcentral's name for it is "partial 16S ribosomal RNA". It matches the Rfam family "Bacterial small subunit ribosomal RNA", at positions 28 to 507 of the family's 1533-position model. The record is from RNAcentral.
GAUGAACGCUGGCGGCGUGCCUAAUACAUGCAAGUCGAGCGAACAGACGAGGAGCUUGCUCCUCUGACGUUAGCGGCGGACGGGUGAGUAACACGUGGAUAACCUACCUAUAAGACUGGGAUAACUUCGGGAAACCGGAGCUAAUACCGGAUAAUAUAUUGAACCGCAUGGUUCAAUAGUGAAAGACGGUUUUGCUGUCAUUUAUAGAUGGAUCCGCGCCGCAUUAGCUAGUUGGUAAGGUAACGGCUUACCAAGGCAACGAUGCGUAGCCGACCUGAGAGGGUGAUCGGCCACACUGGAACUGAGACACGGUCCAGACUCCUACGGGAGGCAGCAGUAGGGAAUCUUCCGCAAUGGGCGAAAGCCUGACGGAGCAACGCCGCGUGAGUGAUGAAGGUCUUCGGAUCGUAAAACUCUGUUAUUAGGGAAGAACAAAUGUGUAAGUAACUAUGCACGUCUUGACGGUACCUAAUCAGAAAGCCACGGCUAGCUACGUG